ACUACCCCUGAACAAGUCUCUUCAUUCGCAGAACGCUCAUGCUGUCGCAGUCUGGCUGGCAGAGUUCUCCCAUCUUUUUAGUCCAACUUGCUUGUUAGAAAUGCACUAGUUUCUUUUUGUACUCAACCUUUGAUGGGUAAGAUCUCGCUGGUUGUUUGGACUGCUUGUUUUUUCCUUGGAGCAACAUCAACUGAAUCUUUCCUUUUCCUGGGCAAGAGCACAAUUGCAGCCAGGUUGUCACACUGCUUCGGCUUUACACAACUCCCCAGGAGAUUAAUUCAGCCACUUUGUUUGCAAAAACUGCCGCAAUGAUCAUCAGGCUGGGCAGACUGACUCCUGGAUACUUCCGUCUCCUGCAGAGGCAGGUGGCAGGUGAGGUGCAGGCCCCAACACGUGACCGCUCUGUCAACCAAAUCGCCAUGAUGCUGGCCAUCAUGGGCCUUAGCAUGUCCUAUUACAGUGCCAAGCAGAUGACGGAAAAGGUGCGCCAAGAGCCUGCCCCAUGAAGAUGCACCUAGCUCCGGUUUGUUGGUAUCCGGAGAAGACGUAUUCAAAUUGGAGAAGGAGAUAGAAGUUGGAGUUACAGAGAUUACCAUAUGCAGCCUCUGUCACACUACACCCUUUCUAUAAUGUUUAGACACUGGAUUUUCAAGGAUCACACACCACAGGGAAGCGAGUUUGGGGCUUCUGUUAAGGAUUCUCUUGCUUUAAUGUAGCACUCAAUGGGGUCUGGAGAUGGUUAAAUGAUUCCUCGUUUGGGCUUGUUGGCUUCUCCUACAGAUGUGGCCUGAAUCUUGAUAGUUGCCAUGGUACAUGCACAAGAGAGUCAGUCAAUUUUGCUGUAGAUUUACAGGGAAAAACUUGGUCUCCACCAGUGCAUAAUAAGAUGCACAGUUUGUUGGGGGAGCACUACAAUGAGCCAUAAUACAUUUUAAAGGGAAGGACCUCUUUGUUUGAGAUGUACCAAGCAACUACUGAAAGCAGGCCCACUACACUGUGUAGGACUGAGAGAAACUGGUUAUAUUUGAGAUUUACCCCAUAAAGAUGUCUUGCUAUUGAAGAAACUUCACAGAGCCCUGACAACUAUUAGCCCUACAAUAUUACACUUGAUUAUCUUGGUGUUAGACACUUAGGAAAUGGACAUACUAUGCAGAGUAACUAAUAUUAAAGAGACCUGUUCUUGUCUUAACUAAUGAGUAAAUGUCUUCAUAACAUCUUGUUGAUUGUCCUGACAAAUGGUGAAUAACCCAACAGUACACAUUAGAUGUUCUUGCCUACUUUCUGUGUGCAAUUGCAUGAGUUUGAAGCUGUGUUUUUAUGUGAAACCAAUCUAUAACAUUGUUUCUAAUACUUUAUCAUAAUGUGAUUACGAUGAAUGUAUGUUGUAUUUAAGAAACUAUGAUCAAAUAAAGCUGUGAAUUAUCUUGUUCAAAAUAAAGUUAUGAGCAGUAAGACUACAGAAGGUUAAAGAAUGUUAUAUUAUGAAAUCUGUUUGGGUUGGAACGGCUCUCUCGGAAAUUGCUAAUAAAAUGUCAAUCCUGCAGAGUUAUAGACGGACAUCUGAGGUCUAUACCGAAACCAUAUAAAAGGCUUUCCUUUCCACAGAAGCGUGCUGUUGAACAGGAAGUGGGCAUAGCUUCAGGCAACAACUUCCUCUCUCGGCAUAUGAUAUUUGUCAACCAGCUGCCUGUUGUUCUGAGCUUGAUGCCUGACAUAGUUAAUCUGAACAUACCCAGAAAAUUAGUAUUUUGCAUACCAUUUAACUUGAGGUGUGUCUUGCCUUCUGAAAAGCUGAGCAUUUUAGGCCAGAAACAUACUCGAGCAUAUGCAAGUAUGUGACCGUCGAUGCUUCGAAAGAUUGACACAUUUUUGCAUUCUGAAACGUAACUUCAGUACGUGUGCAUUCUCAUUGCUGCAAAGGUUGCUAUAGCAGGCAUUAGCAUAACACAGAUAUGUCUAGCUAUGCUAGCUCUAUUAAAUGCAUUGUUGUAUUCCAAAAUAUAUCACCAUGCAAUUCAUAACUCAGUGCCACAAAGGAUGCUAUAGCAGGCUUUAGCAUAAACACAGAUGUGUCUAGCUAUACUCGCUCUACCCUUCCAAAAAAAUCUAAACUAGCUGCAGAUUUGCCCCUUUUUAGUUUCACAUGCAAAUUAGCUUUUGAUUCGGUGCAAUGUUUGCCAGAAGUUUGCAGCUCUUCGCCGGUAGUGGCGAACCUCCGGCAAACCUUUGGCAACAAUGGACAAUUUGCUGCAAAGCUCAUUUGCAUGUGAAAAUUAUCAGUGGCAAGUUUGCGACAAAUUUGCCAUGAACUCUCGAAUUGAGCACAUUGUUGUCUUCCGAAAUUUGUCACUGUGCAAUUAAUAACAUAAUGCUAGUACGUGUUGCAUUCUCAGCAUUGCCACAAGGAAUGCUAUAGCAGGCAUUAGCAUAAACCCAGAUAGCUACACUAGCUCUAUUGAGCUCAUUGAUGCUUUUGAAAUGUGCCACACUGCACUUCAAAACACAAUGCAAGUAUGUGUUGCAUUCUAUGCCUUGCCACAAGAAAUGCUAUUGCAUGCAUUAGCGUAUACGCAGAUGCUUCUAGAUAUGCUAGCUCAAUUGAACAUGUUCAUAAUGCAAUGGAAGUACUGUUCUUUCUUUUUUUCUCCCCUUUUCUCCCCAAUUUUGAAUGCCCAAUUCCCAAUACGUUCUAAGUCCUCGUGGUGGCGUAGUGACUCGCCUCAAUCCGGGUGGCAGAGGAUGAAUCUCCACGUCUGAGACCGUCAAUCCGCGCAUCUUAUCACGUGGCUUGUUGAGCAUGUUACCGCGGAGAUGUAGUGCGUGUGGAGGCUUCACGCUAUUCUCCAGGGCAUCCAAGCACAACUCGCCAUGCGCCCCACCGAGAGCGAGAACCACACAUAGGGACCACGAGGAGGUUACCCCAUGUGACUCUACCCUCCCUAGCAACCAGGCCAAUUUGGUUGCUUAGGAGACCUGGCUGGAAUCACUCAGCAAUUCGAGUACUGUAAGGAGUGCUGUUGCUGGCAUUAGUCGCAUACGGCCAAUUAUCUCUUUCUAGUCUGCUACUAUCAUGGUGCAGCAACAGUUUGAAAAGAGUUCCUUAGCAAGUUAGAGAUUACAAAUGUGUUUAUAUCUAGCUAAAUGGAUAAUAAAAUCCAGUUUAAUAGCACAGACAUUUAAAGGUAACUGUCAUUCCCUUGAGAAAAUGAUUGCUAUUUCCAUUAUAACGCUAAAACGCACGUUAAAUAUAUACAAUAAUUUGCGUAGAGUAUGUUUCUGGCCUUACUCUGCUGUUCUAUUUGCUUGUUUUUGCUCUUCUAUAUGUCUUGCAUUUUAUCAGUGUAUCAGAGAGCAAACGUGCUAGUAGCAUGGUGAACAGUGUAAAUUGUUGGAACACCUGAUAAGAUUGAAGUGAGGUUCAUUAUUGAAACCUGAUGUUCUGCAAAACUGGACUCUAAUAUCGGAGGUUAAAUUUGGGCCGAAUGGACCGGAACGGCAUUACGGCACCUCUGAUUCAAAAACAAUAACAAAAAAUCACAUCAUUCUACUUCUGUUAGGGUUCCCCCUCCUUAAAUAUUCCAAUUUAUCCACUGUCUAUUAUAGAGUCAGAGGUGUUUUGAAGUGUAUAAUUUGUUGAGCCUGUGAGGCAUGUGAAGGACAUUGGGAUGUUUGUUGCCAGCAUGCUUUUUUGCUAUAUAGUGCUGAUUAUAGUUUUGGAAGAGGUUGGUUGGUUGAUUUAUGGAAGCAAAACCUUGAACGUAGGGUCAUUGAAGGUGGUUGUAAUUUCUUAGCUGUAAAAAUGCUUUCUCUGAUCCCAGCUUAAUAUGCAGAGAGAACUAUGCAAAGGAAGCCAUUUGUAGGUUAAUUCACCUAAAAAGUGUAAUGCUGUUUUUUGAGUGUUGGGGAAAUCUGUUUAUUAACAGUAAUUAUUUUUGCAAUUUCUUUUGUUGAUGUUAGAUCUGCAAAAAUGACACUUAAACCUUAACCAUAUUUGUAUUCAUAUUUUAAUCUGUUUUUGGUGGAUAAAACCUAAUGGCCAUCUUGGAACAAAUGGAAACAAACUGCCUUCAGAUGACUCUGCAUUGCCUUUAUUGUUUCCUUCAAACGCUUUCUUCCCAUGACCAAGCAAAAGGCAGAUGCAGUUAUUGCGCCAGUGCUGUUGGGGUGGGGAAGCGGAUGUGCUUUUAAUCUUUGCAUGAAUGCUCAGGGCAGAUGGGAUGCCCUGUGACAGGCCAGGAAUGCAUUGCAUGAAACGUGCUAUUCUGCAUUUCACCUUUAGCUCCUCCCCUCGCCGCUUUGCUCUCUGAUCACUGGGCAAAUUUGCCAAAAAAAAAUACAGCUUUUUUUUUUACAUGUAAGCUUAGGACAUGAACCCAAACACAGUCGCCUCAUUGGCUGUCCGGUGAUGCAUCAUGAUGUCGUUACAGUUUCGAGCCACAGAAACAAAGAGACGUGGAUCACGUUGGCGACAGCGUAAUGCACAUGGUUGCUUUACAAAAACACUUCAAAAAAGCAUAUUUUUAUAAAGAAGGGACAGAACAUGACUUAAUAUGAGUUAACAGUGGCCUUUUCUGUUUGAAAAUAUUUUGAUGAUGGUUUAUGGAUAUAAAAUUGGAGGAAAAUUGUUUUUAUUUCAAAAACCAUUUUUAUAAUGAACACAUUGAGAUAUGUAAACAUUGUAAGACUGUUGUUGUCUGUAUUAAUGUAUCUGAUUACAUAUGAGAGCUUCAUAUAUGAAGGACUUCUGAUGUAUGACUGAAAUGUGAAUUAAACCUACAGAAGUUCCCAUGAUGCACUGUGUUGGUCUGUACAGCUCAUGUAGCAACUACAUUGUUUUGUAAUUCAUGUAC
Long non-coding RNA from Myxocyprinus asiaticus (Chinese sucker), 4850 nucleotides. RefSeq lists it as uncharacterized. The transcript has 3 exons. The record is from RefSeq and is a predicted model, not a curated record. Lineage: Eukaryota; Metazoa; Chordata; Actinopteri; Cypriniformes; Catostomidae.